ACCCACCAACAUGAUCUAUAAUGCAUCUGAUCUUUUCUGAUCUCCGAAGCUAAGCGGAGUCUGGCCUGGUUAGGACUUAGAUGGGAGAACAUUUCCCAGUGUAGAUUUACUGGGUC
RNAcentral lists this ribosomal RNA (116 nucleotides) under Saimiri boliviensis boliviensis (Bolivian squirrel monkey). Lineage: Eukaryota; Metazoa; Chordata; Mammalia; Primates; Cebidae. The record is from RNAcentral.